This 460-nucleotide ribosomal RNA is filed under the name uncultured bacterium. RNAcentral's name for it is "partial 16S ribosomal RNA". It matches the Rfam family "Bacterial small subunit ribosomal RNA", at positions 338 to 795 of the family's 1533-position model. The record is from RNAcentral.
CCUACGGGAGGCAGCAGUGAGGAAUAUUGGUCAAUGGGCUUACGCCUGAACCAGCCAAGUCGCGUGAGGGAAGACUGCCCUAUGGGUUGUAAACCUCUUUUGUCAGAGAGCAACACCGGCUACGUGUAGCCGGACUGAGAGUACCUGAAGAAAAAGCAUCGGCUAACUCCGUGCCAGCAGCCGCGGUAAUACGGGGGAUGCGAGCGUUAUCCGGAUUUUUUGGGUUUAAAGGGUGCGUAGGCGGAAUGCCAAGUCAGCGGUAAAAUCGCGGGGCUCACCCCCGCUCCGCCGUUGAAACUGGCGUUCUUGAGUUGGCGAGAAGUACGCGGAAUGCGCGGUGUAGCGGUGAAAUGCAUAGAUAUCACGCAGAACUCCGAUUGCGAAGGCAGCAUACCGGCGCCAAACUGACGCUGAAGCACGAAAGCGUGGGUAUCGAACAGGAUUAGAUACCCGAGUAGUC